RNAcentral lists this ribosomal RNA (254 nucleotides) under uncultured bacterium. RNAcentral's name for it is "partial 16S ribosomal RNA". It matches the Rfam family "Bacterial small subunit ribosomal RNA", at positions 524 to 776 of the family's 1533-position model. The record is from RNAcentral.
CACGUAGGGGGCAAGCGUUGUCCGGAUUUAUUGGGCGUAAAGAGCUCGUAGGCGGUUCGAUAAGUCGGGUGUGAAAACUCUGGGCUCAACUCAGAGACGCCACCCGAUACUGUCGUGACUUGAGUCUGGUAGGGGAGUGUGGAAUUCCCGGUGUAGCGGUGAAAUGCGCAGAUAUCGGGAGGAACACCAGUGGCGAAGGCGGCGCUCUGGGCCAGUACUGACGCUGAGGAGCGAAAGCGUGGGGAGCGAACAGG